This 468-nucleotide ribosomal RNA is filed under the name uncultured bacterium. RNAcentral's name for it is "partial 16S ribosomal RNA". It matches the Rfam family "Bacterial small subunit ribosomal RNA", at positions 28 to 507 of the family's 1533-position model. The record is from RNAcentral.
GACGAACGCUGGCGGCGUGCUUAACACAUGCAAGUCGAACGGACAGACCCUGCGUUUGUUGCUUUCUCGAGUGGCGAACAGGUGAGUAUCACAUGAGUAUCCUGCCCUUAUCUUUGGGAGAACAUCACGAAACUGCGGCUAUUACCGGAUAGAAGAUCCUGCUGCGUGGGGUUGUAUGGAAAGUUUCGGCUGUUGUGGAUGGUUUCGCGGCUUAUCAGCUUGUUGGUGGAGUAGGGGCGGACCAAGGCUUCGACGGGUAGCCGGCCUGAGAGCGUGACCGGCCACCUGGCGCCUGCGAGACGCCCCAGAAUGCUACGGGACGCAGUAGGGGGGAAUAUUGCACAGUGGGCGGACGCCUGAUGCAGCAAUCCUGCGUGCGGGAUGACGGCCUUCGGGUUGUAAACAGCUUUCGCCGGUGACGAAGCGGUAGUGACGGUAAUGGGUAAAGAAGCACCGGCUAACUACGUG